RNAcentral lists this ribosomal RNA (253 nucleotides) under uncultured bacterium. RNAcentral's name for it is "partial 16S ribosomal RNA". It matches the Rfam family "Bacterial small subunit ribosomal RNA", at positions 524 to 776 of the family's 1533-position model. The record is from RNAcentral.
UACGUAGGGUGCGAGCGUUGUCCGGAUUUAUUGGGCGUAAAGAGCUCGUAGGCGGUUUGUCGCGUCGUUCGUGAAAACUCCACGCUUAACGUGGAGCGUGCGGGCGAUACGGGCAGACUUGAGUUCGGUAGGGGAGACUGGAAUUCCUGGUGUAGCGGUGAAAUGCGCAGAUAUCAGGAGGAACACCGGUGGCGAAGGCGGCUACCUGGACAGUGACUGACGCUGAGACGCGAAAGCGUGGGGAGCAAACAGG